Molecule: long non-coding RNA, 903 nt
Organism: Mercurialis annua (annual mercury)
Lineage: Eukaryota; Viridiplantae; Streptophyta; Magnoliopsida; Malpighiales; Euphorbiaceae
Exons: 3
Source: RefSeq, a predicted model, not a curated record
GAGAAAAUUACGCAAUAAUUAUAAUUGCGGCAAUAUUUUUCUCAAAUACCAACAUUUCAUUAAGUUUUCUCUUCUAUCCAAGGUGUUUUACAAUAAAUGGAUGAGCUGGCACAAUUAUUACUUUUUAUACCCACUUUCACUCUCCUCCAUUAGCAAUCAUCCAGAGACUGAAACAUCAAACAGAGACAAAUCAUUUCCUUCGUCUUCUCAUCCAAAAUUCAUGAUCAUGGCUUCUAAUGAUUUCUUUAAAACAAUAGACUUCAAAUUUAUGGCUUCUAAUCAUUUCCUUCGUCUUCUCAUCUAAAAUUCACCCAAACAGCGUCGUUGUCAUCACUCCCCAUCGUCCUAAAGCUCUCAACGCCAUGAACUUAGAUAUGGAUGCUAAGUACAAAAGUUUUCUGGGUGUAUGGGAAUCAGAUCAUAUUAAUUUUGAUUGGCAGCUCUCAAAGGUACCCAGAUGUUAAGUACAAUAAGUGUGUUCUUAUUGAAGGCAGCUCUCCUUGUGCAUUUUGUGCUGGCUAUUGAUGAUCCUUCAUUCUAAUCCCCUUUGGCUCAACGGAGGUCGGCUCUUUGAUCAUUUUAUAUUUUAAUUUUGUUCAUAAUAAUUUGUCUUAUACUAUUGAUUUUUGAAUAUUUGAGUGUUAUGUUUAUGUUUUGUUGUUUAUAUGGCCAAAUUUGGUAAAUUAGGUGUCUUUAAAAGUGUCAACUUCAUAUUUACCAAAUUGCAUACAAUAUUUUUUUGUGGAGUUUUGUCUUCAUAUUUGAGUGUUUACAAUUUGUUUUACUAUUUUUAUUUUAAAAAAUGUAGCAGAGCUGUAUUUGAGACGUACCAGUGUAGUUAUGAGAUGUAUCUGAAUUUUUUUAAAAUGUAUAUCUACAUUUUUAAUUUAAGCUCAUAUGUGU